This 465-nucleotide ribosomal RNA is filed under the name uncultured bacterium. RNAcentral describes it as "partial 16S ribosomal RNA". It matches the Rfam family "Bacterial small subunit ribosomal RNA", at positions 338 to 795 of the family's 1533-position model. The record is from RNAcentral.
CCUACGGGAGGCAGCAGUAGGGAAUCUUCCACAAUGGGCGAAAGCCUGAUGGAGCAACGCCGCGUGGGUGAAGAAGGUCUUCGGAUCGUAAAACCCUGUUGUUAGAGAAGAAAGUGCGUGAGAGUAACUGUUCACGUUUCGACGGUAUCUAACCAGAAAGCCACGGCUAACUACGUGCCAGCAGCCGCGGUAAUACGUAGGUGGCAAGCGUUAUCCGGAUUUAUUGGGCGUAAAGGGAACGCAGGCGGUCUUUUAAGCCUGAUGUGAAAGCCAUCGGCUUAACCGGAGUAGUGCAUUGGAAACUGGGAAACUUGAGUGCAGAAGAGGAUAGUGGAACUCCAUGUGUAGCGGUGAAAUGCGUAGAUAUAUGGAAGAACACCAGUGGCGAAGGCGGCUCUCUGGUCUGUAACUGACGCUGAGGUUCGAAAGCGUGGGUAGCAAACAGGAUUAGAUACCCCAGUAGUC